GCCCCCGUCGUCUAGUGGCCAGGAUAUCGCCCUUUCAAGGCGAAGACAGGGGUUCGAUUCCCCUCGGGGGCA
RNAcentral lists this transfer RNA (72 nucleotides) under Chloroflexota bacterium. Its description in RNAcentral is "Chloroflexi bacterium (hot springs metagenome) tRNA-Glu". It matches the Rfam family "tRNA". Rfam says of the family: Transfer RNA (tRNA) molecules are approximately 80 nucleotides in length. The record is from RNAcentral. Lineage: Bacteria; Bacillati; Chloroflexota.